UCGUUUGAGGAGAAGUACGUGGAACUGAGCUGUCUUGGCCAAGGUGGCUUCGGCUCAGUCUACGCAGGACUCCGUAUAGAUGACAAUCUGCCUGUGGCAGUCAAGCAUGUUCCCAUUGAUAAGGUGAUAAAUACACCUGUGACCCUGCGUGGGAAGCUCC
Long non-coding RNA from Hypomesus transpacificus, 160 nucleotides. RefSeq lists it as uncharacterized. NCBI's taxonomy places the organism in Eukaryota, Metazoa, Chordata, Actinopteri, Osmeriformes, Osmeridae. The transcript is spliced from 3 exons. The record is from RefSeq and is a predicted model, not a curated record.